UAAUGUAUGGGGAUCUGCCCGAUAGAGGGGGAUAACUACUGGAAACGGUGGCUAAUACCGCAUAAUGUCUACGGACCAAAGCAGGGGCUCUUCGGACCUUGCACUAUCGGAUGGACCCAUAUGGGAUUAGCUAGUAGGUGGGGUAAAGGCUCACCUAGGCGACGAUCUCUAGCUGGUCUGAGAGGAUGAUCAGCCACACUGGGACUGAGACACGGCCCAG
Molecule: ribosomal RNA, 220 nt
Filed under: uncultured bacterium
Lineage: Bacteria
Description: partial 16S ribosomal RNA
Rfam family: Bacterial small subunit ribosomal RNA
Source: RNAcentral